UGCAAGUCGGACGGUAGCACAGAGAGCUUGGUCUUGGGUGACGAGUGGGGGACGGGUGAGUAAUGUCUGGGGAUCUGCCCGAUAGAGGGGGAUAACCACUGGAAACGGUGGCUAAUACCGCAUAACGUCGCAAGACCAAAGAGGGGGACCUUCGGGCCUCUCACUAUCGGAUGAACCCCCAUGGGAUUAUCUAGUAGGCGGGGUAAUGGGCCACCUAUGCGACAAUCCCUAUCUGGGCUGAGAGGAUGACCAGCCACACUGGAACUGAGACACGGUCCACACUCCUACGGGAGGCAGCAGUGGGGAAUAUUGCGCAAUGGGCGCAAGCCUGAUGCACCCAUGCCGCGUGUAUGAAAAAAGCCUUCUGGUUGUAAAGUACUUUCUCCGGGGAGGAAAGCGAUGGGGUUAAUAACCCUGUCUAUUGACGUUACCCGCACAAAAAACACCGGCUAACUCCGUGCCACCACCCGCGGUAAUACGGAGGGUGCAAGCGUUAUUCGCAAUUACUGGGCGUAAAGCGCACGCACGCGGUCUGUUAAAUCACAUGUGAAAUCCCCGGGCUUAUCCUGGGAACUGCGUUUGAAACUGUCAGGCUUGAGUCUUGUAUAGGGGGGGUAUAAUUCCACGUGUAUCGGUGAGAUGCGUAUAGAUCUGUAGGAAUACCGGUGGCGAAAGCGGCCCCCUGUACAAAGACUGACGCUCACGUGCGAAAGCGUGUGGAGCAAACAGGAUUAUAUACCCUGGUAGUCCACGCCGUAUACGAUGUC
Molecule: ribosomal RNA, 767 nt
Filed under: Pantoea sp.
Lineage: Bacteria; Pseudomonadati; Pseudomonadota; Gammaproteobacteria; Enterobacterales; Erwiniaceae
Description: bacterial SSU rRNA
Rfam family: Bacterial small subunit ribosomal RNA
Source: RNAcentral